Pezoporus occidentalis (night parrot) is the source of this 1094-nucleotide long non-coding RNA. RefSeq lists it as uncharacterized. The record is from RefSeq and is a predicted model, not a curated record. The transcript has 4 exons. NCBI's taxonomy places the organism in Eukaryota, Metazoa, Chordata, Aves, Psittaciformes, Psittacidae.
UGAGUGUAAGAGAGACAGCAAGAGAAGGAGAAAGCUGGAUGUCAGUUUUCAUCUCCCUGGCUCUAAAGAAGGGGUUUUACUUUUAUUACUAUUAUUUUUAUUCUCACCUCUCUCCUCCAGUACUGAUUAUCCACAGGGGCACGGGAGCAAUAGGGAACAGGCGAUGUGCACACGGUGGCUGCCCUGGAUCCUCAGCUCACUGCUGCUGUCGGGUUCUACUACAUGGUCAUGGACGUCCUCCCCUGCAUUGCUGCCAGCAGCAGUCAUCUUAGGUGAGUGUGAAAGGGUCAGCUAGAUGAGUGCCUUAGCACAGCUUAAGGUGUGUGUUCCAGUUGCUGGAGCCAGGCUGAAAAGCUCAGUUCAAACACAGCUGGGCCUCCACCCAUUCAUGGGGCAGACCACGGGAGCAUUCAUCACUGUCAGUGUCAUUCUGCCUGCGAUGGUUCAAAGGGCAUUGCAACUCAUUUGAUGUGUGUUCAUGAAAUGUCCCUCGGAUGUCAGACCUCUGUAGAAGUUCAAAGGGGUGCAUUGUGGACUCUGUCCUCUUCCAUUUGCCCUGGUGGACAUUAAUUGGGUAUAGAAAAGUUGUUGUUUUCCUUCAACUGGAAACUGUUGAGUCAGCGCAAUGGCUCCCAGCUGGUACAAGGCAAAGAACUUGCGAAAGGUUUUCCCCUCAUAAAGUGUGUCUCACAGCCUGGGCAGUGCUAAUGCAUGGCUGUUGCAGGACCCCCUGCUGAGAUGGUCCCUGAGACCACUGCUGUUUAGUUGUACUUCUGAGCUGCCAGUAACACUUCAGAAACCAGUGUAAGUGAUGCCUGUAGCAUUGAACAGCCCACUUCAGUCAAGUCUUGGGUGGGAGAACUUUUGUGUUAAUAGGUUGUGAAUUAUCUAAAUGAAUCCAGUGGUGCUGGCCUGGCUGUGGUGAGAUGUGUUUCCAAUGCAUAGGUGAGAUUACAGUGUUGAAUACUGAACGCAUCAACACUUAGUAGCAAAAGAAAAAGAAGUUAAUAAGUUACUCAGUAGGGCUUAGAAAUAUGCAUGUAAGUAGAGACUGAGUAUUAUAAAUACAGAAGCCAAUGUUUCUAGAGGAAAAA